AAGCUGCGAUACGUAAUGUGAAUUGCAGAAUUCAGUGAAUCAUCGAAUCUUUGAACGCAAAUUGCGCCAACGGCUCCCCGUUGGCAUGCCUGUCUGAGUGUCAUUUUCCAACCUCUUUCUUUCUUCUUUUUGGAAGAAAGGAAGGCAGUGAGGUGGUCCUGGAGCCUCUGGUUCUCCAUGUCCCUUUAAAGAUCGUAGGCGUUUCUGUUUCCUACCAAUUGCAAACGCGGUUUUUGGCCUAUAAAAAGAAGCCUUUCAACAGGCUGCCUUUUUUUACCUUCAAGAACCAGCGGGUAGGCUGCACAAAGGCGCCCCAAACUUUAUAUUCACCCAUCAUGACCUCAGAUCAGACAAGACUACCCGCUGAAUUUAA
RNAcentral lists this unclassified non-coding RNA (373 nucleotides) under uncultured Mortierella. RNAcentral describes it as "sequence contains ITS1". The stretch from base 1 to 103 matches the Rfam family "5.8S ribosomal RNA", at positions 50 to 154 of the family's 154-position model. Lineage: Eukaryota; Fungi; Mortierellomycota; Mortierellomycetes; Mortierellales; Mortierellaceae. The record is from RNAcentral.